This 932-nucleotide long non-coding RNA is filed under the name Phoenix dactylifera (date palm). RNAcentral's name for it is "long non-coding RNA (PDAC_LNC007481)". Lineage: Eukaryota; Viridiplantae; Streptophyta; Magnoliopsida; Arecales; Arecaceae. The record is from RNAcentral.
AGGAGUCUUCUUCGGCCGCUGCUGCUGAGGCUGCUUUCGUGGUUACCACCUAGGCUUCGGUCCCUGAGAUCCAUGGCUUGGCUCGGUCCAGUCAAGAGUUCGUCCAUCCACCAAGAGCACCCCUUCUGCUCCGGGUUGUGCCCCCAGGGUUUACUCCCCAUACUGGUCUGUUUGAGAGUCAGACUCGGCUUUAACAAACCCUAUGGUGGCGAUGGAGUUAGUCAAAGCCAUGCAGCUCCCAGUCGGCCUAGAGGCUAUGCACUCUAUCAGCAUCAUCGAGUUCUUCAAUGAAGCUUUCACCAUGGUCAUUCAAGUAGGUCUCCGAUUCACAAACUACUAUAUAGUCUUUCACUUUAGUUACUAACUCUAUUCCCCUUUCCAUCAUGCUUUUGUGAUUAGUGAGAAGCAACGAAUGACCACAAGGUUCUUCAGGCAUUGCUCGGCGCUUGAGGGGAAAUGAAAAGCUAACAAAGUGUAGGCCGAGGUGAAGGUCAAGUCGGUCAAGGAUGAGAUUAGGUCGGCAGAAGCUCAUGCCUCGAUCGUGCAGGCCUAAGCGGAAAUGAAGGAGGCCCAACUACGUGCAUCCAUGAAAGCCCUCAAAGCCACAUUGUUAUUACCUAGCCAGAUGUGGCAUGCAAUGAUGACCAGGUAACAGUCGGUAGUAUGGUAGUGGCAUGGAGCCAGUCUAUGUGGGCAGCGAGCAGUAUGGUGGGGCGCAGGCCGUGGUGCUGCCACGACUGCGAGCUGCUAGAGCUGUUGGUUGUUAGGGCUAUCAGUUCUUGUCAACAUAUGUUGAUUAUGUUUUUCGGCUGAUCUUUCUUCCUCAGUAAGGACUGAAGGUGCUUACCUCUACUAGUUGGCUGCUUGGCUGAGGUGGAGGUUGUUCUAUUCGGCUUACGUCUGAGGUUAAGUGGGUAGGUCUGGUUCGAGGU